ACAUCUUUUUUCAAAUACAAAAUAGGAAAUACAAUAACAAAAGACUCGACAUUACUGUACAGAACUAGAAGGUAAAAGCCGACAUAAAAAAAUCUCCUUAAGCAACUCCUGAAUGAGCAAUUCUAACUGGAUGGUCCCGGGGUGUCUGUCAUGCUCAAACUCCGGUAAGUAGAUCCACACCUGUAUGAGAAAAUUAAGACCAAAUAAAGUUACCUAGAACACUAUGUGAGACAACAACACUUCCUAUUGAACACAUGCAAGUUAUGAUUGGGGCUAUUUUUGCAAAAUGACUUAUGUGGCCAAAAGGUGGCUAGAAGUGCAAACUCAACAAAAGUGACCUCUAAGACAUGGAAAAAUUACUUUGGAGAAAUGACCCAUUUUGUAGAAAUGGCCUAUGUGGAUAAAAAGACAGCUAAGCAUGCAAGUUCAACAUAAUAGAUCUUAAACAGAGAGGGCACCUUGUUGUGGAUUUAGGACUCUAGGACAUGGGUUAAUUGAACCGCUUUUGCGAAAAUAACCCUAUUUUGCAAAACGGCCUAUGUGGCCAAAAGCGUCUAGACAUGAAAAUUUGACAAGGACAUACCUUAAAGUAAAGAGACACCUAAUUGUGGAUUGAAGACUCUCCAGACAAAAUUAAACAAACCACUUUGCGAAAAUAGCCCUAUUUUGCAAAAUGACCGAUGUGGCCAAAAGUGGCUAGACAUGCAAGAUUUGGCUAAGAUCCUGCGAAGCCAGGAACCUAAGACUCACUAAGAAGACCGGACCCUAUGUGGGUUGCCUACGUAUCUCGCCCCGAGAGACGAGAAUCAAGUUCGUGUAGUUCGGGAAGAUUGGAUACAGGCGAGAAUUAUAUAUAAAAAAAUAACUAAUUUAGAGAAAAUAUAUUUGUCUUUUUUUGAAAAAUGAUGAAAUAUGUAAACUCUUUUUGGAUUUUUUCUUUUUUUUCUUUUUCUUUUGAAAAUGAUGAGAAAGUGCAAAAUCUUUUUUUUUUGUUUUGGAUUUUUCAUGUUUUUUUCUUUUUUUUAUUUAAAAAAAUGAAAACAAAAAUAUAACUGGGCCCUACUUGCUUUAUUUUUUACACUUCACCCUUUUUUUUUUUAUCAUUUGCCCUCAACCAUCAUUGGUCCACCAAAUGACCCUUUUUACCCUUGAAGAUUGCAACAUGUAGCACAUAAGAUGCAACAGGAUAGUCUUUUAUUUUUUUGGGUACACCUGUCCUAGACGGACUUAACCCCUGUAUUGAGUCCCCAAAGUCAGAUGCACAUGAUACAAACAAGCGUUCCUACUAGGGAUCCAGUAUGAGGCUAUGUUGUUCUAGGUUUAAAACCUGGGUGUAUUGUUCUAGACUUGGCUUACCCGAGCGGACAACUCAAGCCGGUAGGGGGGGGGGGGGGGAGGGAAGCGUACCGGUAACCAAAAGAUCAUACGGCUUUACAACUUGUUCGAACCUCGUUCUAAAAUUGGGAUAUAACACUAACAGAAGAGAAGUCAUGCCAGCGUACACUUCCCAGAAGAUUAGAAGAGAGGGGUUUCGUAGCAGUUUAUAUACAAUUUAGAUAAUAUCAAAGCGGUAAAGAGCAAUAUUUAGCACAUUAGGCCCAAACAUGUAAAUAAAUUCAGAUAAUAAAUAAAAGCCAAAUAUAACAAUUAUUUUAAGCUCGAAUUCUUGAACCCUGAACCAGAGAUUCUGGGUUCUUUUUCCCAGCAGAGUCGCCAGAGCUGUCACACCUCCUUUUUCUACCCCCGGAAGGGGUAUAGGGGAGUUUUCCAAUUAAAGUGACAAUGAUCGAAAUGAAAUUAUUUAUUUAAAGUUCAGGGUUGCCGCUUGGGAUAAUUUAUGGUGUCACAAGUCACCAGUUUAAAAUCCUGAAUCGAGAAAAAUUGACUCUUAUUUAUGGUCUGCUAACACAGAAAUUCGGGUAAGGAAUUUUGUUAAUCCGGGAAAAGGUGUUAGUGUCACGGCCCUAAACCCGAACGCGGUCGUGAUGGCGCCUCUCGUGAAGACAAGGCCAGCCGACACUUCCCAUUUCAGUAUUUAACAUUUAAAUAGUAAGAAACAGUCUAAAGCAUAAUAAAAUAAUCCAAGGUUUAAGAAGAUGAUAGUAUAAUAUGCGAAAUACAACCCAACAUAGCCCGAUACCGGGGUGCCACUAGUCAUGAGCAUCUAAACAAUCCAGUAUACUCAGAGACUAAGUGUCUCAGACCUUACCAAUUCUUUUCCGAACCCUAACCAAUCAAUCCUAUCACAUAUAGAACCAUUAUACAAAGCAAUAAGAAGCAUAAAUGGGGGAAACAGAGCGGUAACUCAUGAGACGACUGGCCGGGUCGUCACAAUUAGGCAUUCCCGGGUUCUGUAAUUUUAGCACGGUCGCUCAACUGUUAAUAUUGGCCUAUUUAUUCGAUUUUAAAACAUCUUUGAAACCUAUGUGCAUUUUUAUUCCUUUUAAACCACUUUUAAUAAUCCAAUUGUUAUACAACUAAAUAUUUUGAUUACACAUUGUGAAUCAUGUCACGGGAGCCGUACCCAUGAUCCACAACAUGUUUAUUUUAUUAACAGGAUUAAAUUGUGCCCGGGUCACAUAAAUAUACCCCCAGAUUUUAGAAAUUAAGCAUCACAACUACGUCAUGGGAACCGUACCCGUAGCUAUGCCAAUUUAUUUAAUUAACGCGCCUAAAGCAAACUACGAAAAGUUCAAGGCAUUUCUACACGAAUUAAUAUAUUGAUGUGAGGGCCAUAGACUAGGUGAUUGGAUGGCGCACCUCAGUUUUAUUAAAGGAAAAGCAUUCAACUAAGUGAAAUUCAUAUUUAAAACUAAUUUGAGAUUAAGUAUCACAACCACGCCAUGGGAAUCAUACCCAUAGUUGUGAUGAUUUAAUUACGUGCCUAAAGCAAACUACGACAUUCAUAGGUUGCAAUUGAACAAUGAAAUACUCUUAAGAGUAGGCAUGAUCGAAUUGCUAGGAAUACAAACUACAAACUACCUAAAAUUGAAACCAAAAGAGAAACGAUAGAAUUAAGAAGAGAGCACUGUGUUUAUAGGAAAACGGCAAAUCAAAUUGGCAACGACCAUGAGAAUGUCAAAAAAAUGGAUCUUAGUUAAACCCAUAUUUUAAGAAUUUUUAAAAUUUCACCUCUUACCUUUCUUUGAAUAAGAGGUGAAACAACAAAUGUCCAAUAAACGGGCAGAGACUCAGAAAAUUCAAAUGAGCUAUAAUUAUGCUUUUAAUUGUUCAUAGCAGUGAACAAAACUAAAUAUACCAAAUACAGUAAAUAAAGAAACAGACCUCAAAGAGCGAUAAUUUUCCGAUUAAUGGAAUUUCGAGUUUACAUUUCUAUUCAGUCGAGAAGCAAACGAGAAUCUGACCAAAGAAUUGAGCAGCGAACAAAGACGCCAACAGGGACACGAACGCGACAGAACCUCGAACAACAAUUCAGAUCACACCAGUAUCAGUUUCUGUUGAGUUUGGUGUAUUGAAGAAGAUGAAAAUGGCUGUGUAUAUCUAGGUUCAAAGAAGAAGGAAAGGCUGAAAGGUACUUGGUUGACGAGGUGGAUAAGCAGCCGCUGGUGGUCUUUUCAGCUCGUUUUCCGGCGAGCUGUUAUCUCUUUUGUCUGUGUGCGUCGCUGUUUCAGGUUGAAGAAGAAAGAUUGACAGUGAGGGGUCGUCCAAGGGCGGCUGUUGCUGUUUUUUUCUAGGGUUUGUGUUGGUUGAAAAAAAAUUGCUGGAGAUCUCGACUAUGUCUGCUUGUCCUGAUGAAGAUGAAGACGCAGGUGGUAUGGGUUUGGUCUUAUUGAGCCUUAAAAUUGGGUCCAAG
RNAcentral lists this long non-coding RNA (3814 nucleotides) under Nicotiana tabacum (common tobacco). Its description in RNAcentral is "long non-coding RNA (NTAB_LNC014960)". Lineage: Eukaryota; Viridiplantae; Streptophyta; Magnoliopsida; Solanales; Solanaceae. The record is from RNAcentral.